Ornithodoros turicata is the source of this 2357-nucleotide long non-coding RNA. RefSeq lists it as uncharacterized. The record is from RefSeq and is a predicted model, not a curated record. The transcript is spliced from 10 exons. Lineage: Eukaryota; Metazoa; Arthropoda; Arachnida; Ixodida; Argasidae.
CACCUGCACGAGACCGCUCGAGCACCGCGAGCAGAAUAUUUUAGUCAUCCGUCGCAUUGGUUCAGUUACCCGUUGUGAACCCGUCGCAGUGAAAAUGAUCGAAUACACCGUGGGCGCCUUUUUGGUCGUUGUACUAAUGGUCAAAGGAACCCCGAUGCGGUUAAUCCGGUGCAUUAUAAGUACGUUACGGCAAGAAUCUCGUGUCACUUCAACAUCUGACCUCGUGAAAUGUUCUGACGAGGAAACAGAAACUGAGCGUGUCCUCACCGCCGAGGAAGGAACACAGGCUCCCCGCCUGAGAGGUCUCCUGUGAGGAGCAAGAAGAGCUGUACGCCAUGGUGGCUGCUAUUCUUAGCGGCAUUUACGCUCUGUGUGCUGGGCAUCCUGAUCGUAACUACCGCCCUUAACCAUAUCUCUCAGCUGUCCUAACUUGCCCAGACAUGCCAUGAUGACGUCACAGAAUGUCCGGAACUGGUGGUCAUAGCUGCGAUGCUUUGCAACCUGCCUCUGUGCUCCGUCGCCCAGCGAUGGUCAACGGCCGUUCCGGACCGCUUUCUUCACGGCUAUCUCUAUCUAUUUUUUUUGUGACCACGAUUAUCCGGAAACGCACAGCUGGUCUGGACACGAGUUAGACGCUCCCUAAUUAGUGUGGUGACUCCCUGGAGGGUGCUGAUUACUGUGGGGGUCCCAAUUAGCUCAAAUUGAUUAAUUAAUCAUGUUUAGACGAAGAUGUGCGUUUCCGGAUAAACCUGGUCAGUACUUACUACUCAUUCCGCGGUAUACCCCCUUUCUCACUGAUAUGCGAAUUCCAGAAUUUAGCAUGGUGUGUAAUAUAAGUGUAAUCGAGGUGUAUUGGUUCAUUACAGCCAGUUUGCACCAACAUGGGUGCUUACUCGAACUAAACUUUUAUUUGAUGUGCCCAUGAACAGCGGCAGCCUUAUUAAUGGUGCACAAGUCAACUGAUUGAUAAGAAAUGGACGCAUUAACGUUAAAAAAUCAACAUGCGUAGAACAUUUCAUAUAGGAAGCAAGCAUACGUGGCAGUGGCGAGAAAGUCUGGCAAAAUCUAAAAUCAGAAAGAACGCUGUUACGAAGAGUUCGCACAGGGAGACGUAUUGGAAUUGUGGAGGUCAAGGAGGUCAAUUCAAUGUAGUGAAAUAAGAGCAACAUUCUGGGACACCCCCUCUGAAACCCGGCUUGACCUGAUAGCAGAGGACUACACAAGGAAGCCAAGUUUACAGGGUGGUGCGUGAGUACGCGAAGAGUAAGAUUUGUGCAGGGAGAGGAGGACAGAUCUGAGGCGAACAAUUCCCUUUUCGCGCCCCCACCUGACAACAACACCGAUAAGACGCCCGGGAGCUUUCAGAUAAAGAAUAAGACGUGAUGUAUAACUGUGGGAACCAGCAUGGGAGUUUCCAGAUAUCGGGUGAUUGCCGGAUUUAAUUUGUAUGUUGGCGCCUGUGAUAGCUUUCUGGACGGCAAAUUGACUAGAUGCGAGUUCUAAGGGUGCAGCAAGGAAAGCAGCUACGGUCCGCAGACGAUACACAGACUACGUAAUUCUAUUAUGAUACCGUGGGAUUACUCUGGUUUACACUUCGCAAAAUAAACUUCGAGACUAAACUCCUCGAAAUAAAUCACGAAAAUAUCCACGGCGUAAAGAUAAAGCCGUAAAAGUCAACUUUUGCGAUACAAACGCUUCAGAUUCAAUCGUCUCUGAUUGGUCGACAGGCACGACAGCCUCAGAGCAGCGAAGGCUUUUGGCUCCCGCGUCUCAAAAUAGUUCCCCGCAGGGUGAGGCUUUUUGCGGUGGGCUGGGAAGGCUGGGAACGAGAGUACCGAGUCUGGACGAAUCGUUUACUGUAUUCACCGCCGGCUAUCAUGAUUCUGUUGACAGUGCAGUUCAUGCUUUGUUCUGCUGCUCGCCUGUCAAAUUUGAGUAUCUCGAACUCUGAAUUCGUGUCGUGUCACCAAAUGAGUUCCCGGUGUUGGUUCCAGCUAUGGUGGACACCUGCUAUAUUAUGAACAUUGUCGCGAACAUCGCCAUUCUCCUGCAGGGCUGCCUUGGUUGUGAAAUUGUAGAGUUGAAAAGUGACGAUCGACGGAAAAGCCUGAUUCCCGUACCGUGUGGAUGUGUUGUGUUUGUCCUUCUGUAUGUGUUUGUGUGUGUUCCAGCCUCAGAACUGUAGAAUCGUGAAAUGGGAACUUGCCUGUGGUUUUCCUUGUGAGCCUACGUUCUGAUAAAUGCAGAAAACAGGUACUGGACAGACUCUCGAAAUGCAUUUCUGCAAAUAAGCUACAUAUGAAUGAGAAGAAAUUGUUUGUUUGUUUGCAAGAAAAAAACUAUUUUCUCUCGGAUGA